GAGUGCUGGAUUCUGAUCUCCUGUCUGUGUCCAGUUGUAUCUAUUGUCUCCUCUCUCCUCUCCUCACUUGUGGUCUAUCACUGCUGUAAGAAGGCUGAAGAACAUCCUGUUGAUCAGCAAAGACCUGACACUAGAGGUCAUCCAAGACAGAGCCAGGAUGACGAUGUGUGCUAUGCUGCUGUGGAAAUCCGUCAGAAAUCAAAGAGACCAAAGAAGAAGAAGGAACCGCAGACUUCUGACUUCUGCACCUAUUCUGCUCUUAAUACAUCUAGGAUGUAACAGGCCUAAGACCAGAGGAAUAAAAAAAAUGAAUUUUAUAAUGUUGAUAUAUAUAGACCAUUCUGUCAUUGCAUAGUUCAAACAUUGCUGGCUGUAUUAACCACAACAUUCAUCACGGAAAAUAUGCGUCAUGUGGUCUUAUUUCCUUGCGCCACUGAGAUGACUUUUGAAAAUUAAAGGAGCCGUAAAAAUCAGAAAUGAAGAACAAUCUCAUAAGUGUUUGUCGUGGUUGAUUACACUUCAUCUUCAGAAUCUUUAUAUUCUUAAUUGAGAUCAAUUUCAUAAAGUUUGUAAUGGCUGCUGGUCUGAAUCUAGACUGUUCUCUGGCAAUUUCCUGUUUUUAUCUCAAGCUAACC
This is a non-coding RNA of Labrus bergylta (ballan wrasse), 635 nucleotides long. NCBI's taxonomy places the organism in Eukaryota, Metazoa, Chordata, Actinopteri, Labriformes, Labridae. The record is from RefSeq and is a predicted model, not a curated record.